CACUCUGGAAAGCAGAGCGAACCGGCCACCGCCGUUCGUUCUCACCGACGGAGUAAACCGCGCAUGGCGCGGUGAAUCUCUCAGGUUCCCGGACAGAGGGGG
This 102-nucleotide non-coding RNA is filed under the name marine eukaryotic metagenome. Its description in RNAcentral is "Glycine riboswitch". It matches the Rfam family "Glycine riboswitch aptamer", at positions 7 to 90 of the family's 94-position model. From Rfam's summary of the family: This family represents the bacterial glycine riboswitch. The record is from RNAcentral.